This 496-nucleotide ribosomal RNA is filed under the name uncultured bacterium. RNAcentral describes it as "partial 16S ribosomal RNA". It matches the Rfam family "Bacterial small subunit ribosomal RNA", at positions 29 to 507 of the family's 1533-position model. The record is from RNAcentral.
AUGAACGCUGGCGGCGUGCCUAAUACCUGCAAGUCGAGCGAACGGACGAGAAGCUUGCUUCUCUGAUGUUAGCGGCGGACGGGUGAGUAACACGUGGAUAACCUACCUAUAAGACUGGGAUAACUUCGGGAAACCGGAGCUAAUACCGGAUGAUAUUUUGAACCGCAUGGUUCAAAAGUGAAAGACGGCCUUGCUGUCACUUAUAGAUGGAUCCGCGCCGCAUUAGCUAGUUGGUAAGGUAACGGCUUACCAAGGCAACGAUGCAUAGCCGACCUGAGAGGGUGAUCGGCCACACUGGAACUGAGACACGGUCCAGACUCCUACGGGAGGCAGCAGUAGGGAAUCUUCCGCAAUGGGCGAAAGCCUGACGGAGCAACGCCGCGUGAGUGAUGAAGGUCUUCGGAUCGUAAAACUCUGUUAUUAGGGAAGAACAUAUGUGUAAGUAACUGUGCACAUCUUGACGGUACCUAAUCAGAAAGCCACGGCUAACUACGUG